The sequence is a transfer RNA, 72 nucleotides long. It matches the Rfam family "tRNA". Rfam says of the family: Transfer RNA (tRNA) molecules are approximately 80 nucleotides in length. Their secondary structure includes four short double-helical elements and three loops (D, anti-codon, and T loops). Further hydrogen bonds mediate the characteristic L-shaped molecular structure. tRNAs have two regions of fundamental functional importance: the anti-codon, which is responsible for specific mRNA codon recognition, and the 3' end, to which the tRNAs corresponding amino acid is attached (by aminoacyl-tRNA synthetases). tRNAs cope with the degeneracy of the genetic code in two manners: having more than one tRNA (with a specific anti-codon) for a particular amino acid; and 'wobble' base-pairing, i.e. permitting non-standard base-pairing at the 3rd anti-codon position. The record is from Rfam.
GCCCGCGUGGCUUAAUGGUAAAGCGUAUCACUAGUAAUGAUAAGAUCCUCGGUUCGAUUCCGAGUGUGGGCA